RNAcentral lists this unclassified non-coding RNA (243 nucleotides) under Hevea brasiliensis (rubber tree). Lineage: Eukaryota; Viridiplantae; Streptophyta; Magnoliopsida; Malpighiales; Euphorbiaceae. The record is from RNAcentral.
GGAGUCCAGUUUCCUCAAAGGCCUCCUGCAGUUCCACCAAAUAAUCCUACACAGCAGCAAACUAAUACCUCACAAAAUGGAGUAAUAAGAUUAUCUGAGCAGGAGGAUGUUGCUAGAGUGGAACCCCAGAUAUUACCAGAAUCUAGUAUAAUUGAAAAGGCUAGCAAUGCAUUAGAAGUUCUGAAAGAAGUUCUUGAUGCUGUAGAUCCUCGGCAUCCUGAGGGGGCAAGAGAUGAGUUUACC